Long non-coding RNA from Cygnus olor (mute swan), 1671 nucleotides. RefSeq lists it as uncharacterized. NCBI's taxonomy places the organism in Eukaryota, Metazoa, Chordata, Aves, Anseriformes, Anatidae. The transcript has 2 exons. The record is from RefSeq and is a predicted model, not a curated record.
UUUUUAUUUUCUGAAGAUGUAUAUUUCAAGAUCCUGAUUCCCUUGAAAUGUAUGUGCUGCUCCCAAGCCUUUAAACUUGUUUAUCAUUGACUCACUAAGACCAGUAUUGGGCUGACAUUUUCCAGGACAGAUUUCUGAAGCUGUGCAUUGAGUUGGAACUGAAAUAAUUGGCCUAAUUUUUCAGAAGUGAUGAAGAUCCCACUGACAUCUUCAUUACAUCCUGAGACGUUUAAGAAGAUAACACCAGGCUCCAACAUCUGAAAAUCCUUGCCUUUUACCUCACCAGAGAUUUUUACCUCAGAAGGAAUUUGUGAAGAUUACUGUGUUCCUAAUGCCUUUUGAAAUACUUAUUUAAAAGGUUUUGCAAGUGAUGAGGAAGACAGCAGCAGUGUUACAAUAGUGGCUCUGUUUACUUUCCAGGUCAAAAGCCAUGCUAGGCAAUCAAAGAUACUCUAACCUCCCCCCAAAUUUCUGGUUUUAAGGGAAGUAUGAUCUGCCCGCAGUAUUCUGUGUACAAACAGCUGCAGGUUCUGUGAAAAAUGGUAUUUUGAACUAAAUGUUAUAGCAGUAAUGCGGACUAUACCCCUGUGUAAAUCUGAUUUCAAAGGCUUGAUUAUAGCCUUUUUCCAGACCUAGAAACUACUGAGAAGUGACUUGCUUCAAGUAUGAGCAGAGCACACAACUGAACUCUGCUGUCUUUUAUACAGUAAAAAGGCUAUUAACUGGAAAUAUCAACAAUGAAAUGAAUAAUAUCACAAGUUUUCCAGUCAGAGCUGUCAGUUAUAUAUGUAGGGUUUUAUUUAAUGUCCAUUAAAGUCAAAUGUUUCUUUCCAUUGGUUGGUUUGCACAGCCAAGUAGAAGCUUCAGCAUUUGAAUGAUCUAAACCAGUUUUCAUAAACUACAAACAGAAAACAAAGGCUGUUGUUUAUAAUCUGUCCAUUAGUAUUUCUCUUCAAGUAACAUAAAACUAAUAAACAUCUAUGCCUAUCACUUUUCUCACUUUGCUUGCAUUACAAGCAAAUCACUCUUUUAGACACUUGAAAAAGCUAAGCACAGACUCAACAACUGGCUAACAAUUUUGAUCUGAACCAUACUUCACUUUGAAAAGCAAUUAUGAAAGUUCUUGACAGAAGUAAUAUUCUAGCUCUAAUCUUAUUAGUAGAAGCAGUAAUGGUAAGACAUGUUGUAGAGUGGAUGAACUUACUGCCAAGGCUAAACUAUUUAUUUUCAGUAAUACUCAUUUUUCAAAGAGCAGAUGGUUUAAUUCUCUGAAACAGCUGGUAAUAAAUAGGAGACAGAAAAUCAGGUGGGGAAUGAAAUAACUGUUAUCUACCCUUCAAAAUUCAGCAAGGUUUAAAGGUAUGCUGGCAUUCCAACCUCAAGUAAGAUUUCUUUUCAUCAGACCCUACAGCGUCAAGUGGUAUAACAUAAUGAAGUCUGUAAAAUAGCCACCUUCAAAGCUAAUCUAAGGAAGCCAUGAAAAUACUGAAUUUAGAUGCUCAGAGUACCAGUCUUGGAUUGUGGUUUUGCAGGUUUUUUUUUGCAUUGGUUAAUCGUCAUCUAGCUUUGGAAAAAUUGUAAAGUUUUAACUGAUCAAUUACUGGUUGGGUCUUACAGAAGCUUACUUCUCACUGCAGUGAUUGAAUUGCAGCUUUUAUCUGCACUAUUUGU